CAGUCGCCGCGGGAAAACGAAGGGGGCUAGCGUUGUUCGGAAUUACUGGGCGUAAAGCGCACGUAGGCGGAUCGAUCAGUCAGGGGUGAAAUCCCAGGGCUCAACCCUGGAACUGCCUUUGAUACUGUCGAUCUGGAGUAUGGAAGAGGUGAGUGGAAUUCCGAGUGUAGAGGUGAAAUUCGUAGAUAUUCGGAGGAACACCAGUGGCGAAGGCGGCUCACUGGUCCAUUACUGACGCUGAGGUGCGAAAGCGUGGGGAGCAAACAGGAUUAGAUACCCCCGUAGUCCCUGUCUCUUAUAU
This 301-nucleotide ribosomal RNA is filed under the name uncultured bacterium. RNAcentral's name for it is "partial 16S ribosomal RNA". It matches the Rfam family "Bacterial small subunit ribosomal RNA", at positions 509 to 809 of the family's 1533-position model. The record is from RNAcentral.